GGCCUAACACAUGCAAGUCGAGCGGUAGAGAGAAGCUUGCUUCUCUUGAGAGCGGCGGACGGGUGAGUAAUGCCUAGGAAUCUGCCUGGUAGUGGGGGAUAACGUUCGGAAACGGACGCUAAUACCGCAUACGUCCUACGGGAGAAAGCAGGGGACCUUCGGGCCUUGCGCUAUCAGAUGAGCCUAGGUCGGAUUAGCUAGUUGGUGAGGUAAUGGCUCACCAAGGCGACGAUCCGUAACUGGUCUGAGAGGAUGAUCAGUCACACUGGAACUGAGACACGGUCCAGACUCCUACGGGAGGCAGCAGUGGGGAAUAUUGGACAAUGGGCGAAAGCCUGAUCCAGCCAUGCCGCGUGUGUGAAGAAGGUCUUCGGAUUGUAAAGCACUUUAAGUUGGGAGGAAGGGCAGUUACCUAAUACGUGAUUGUUUUGACGUUACCGACAGAAUAAG
RNAcentral lists this ribosomal RNA (450 nucleotides) under uncultured Gammaproteobacteria bacterium. RNAcentral describes it as "bacterial SSU rRNA". It matches the Rfam family "Bacterial small subunit ribosomal RNA", at positions 45 to 490 of the family's 1533-position model. The record is from RNAcentral. Lineage: Bacteria; Pseudomonadati; Pseudomonadota; Gammaproteobacteria.